This 306-nucleotide unclassified non-coding RNA is filed under the name Mycolicibacterium senegalense. RNAcentral describes it as "partial tmRNA". The record is from RNAcentral. Lineage: Bacteria; Bacillati; Actinomycetota; Actinomycetes; Mycobacteriales; Mycobacteriaceae.
CGAAUCAAGGGAAGCGUGCCGGUGCAGGCAAGAGACCACCGUAAGCGUCGUUGCAACCAAUUAAGCGCCGAUUCCAAUCAGCGCGACUACGCCCUCGCUGCCUAAGCGACGGCUGGUCUGUCAGACCGGGAACGCCCUCGGCCCGGAUCCUGGCAUCAGCUAGAGGGACCCACCCACGGGUUCGGUCGCGGAAUUCGUGGGGACAUCAAACAGCGACUGGGAUCGUCAUCUCAGCUUGUUCGCGUGACUGAGAGAUCCGAGUAGAGGCACAGCGAACUGCGCACGGAGAAGCCUCGAGGACAUGCC